This 253-nucleotide ribosomal RNA is filed under the name uncultured bacterium. RNAcentral describes it as "partial 16S ribosomal RNA". It matches the Rfam family "Bacterial small subunit ribosomal RNA", at positions 524 to 776 of the family's 1533-position model. The record is from RNAcentral.
GACAGAGGGUGCAAACGUUGUUCGGAAUUACUGGGCGUAAAGCGAGUGUAGGCGGUCUCAUAAGUCAGGUGUGAAAGCCCCGGGCUCAACCCGGGAAGUGCACUUGAAACUGCGAGGCUAGAGUAUCGGAGAGGUUGGUGGAAUUCUCGGUGUAGAGGUGAAAUUCGUAGAUAUCGAGAGGAACACCGGUGGCGAAGGCGGCCAACUGGACGAAUACUGACGCUGAGACGCGAAAGCGUGGGUAGCAAACAGG